GAUGAACGCUGGCGGCGUGCUUAACACAUGCAAGUCGAACGAAGCACUUUAUUUGAUUUCCUUCGGGACUGAUUAUUUUGUGACUGAGUGGCGGACGGGUGAGUAACGCGUGGGUAACCUGCCUUGUACAGGGGGAUAACAGUUGGAAACGGCUGCUAAUACCGCAUAAGCGCACGGCAUCGCAUGAUGCAGUGUGAAAAACUCCGGUGGUAUAAGAUGGACCCGCGUUGGAUUAGCUAGUUGGUGAGGUAACGGCCCACCAAGGCGACGAUCCAUAGCCGACCUGAGAGGGUGACCGGCCACAUUGGGACUGAGACACGGCCCAAACUCCUACGGGAGGCAGCAGUGGGGAAUAUUGCACAAUGGGCGAAAGCCUGAUGCAGCGACGCCGCGUGAGCGAAGAAGUAUUUCGGUAUGUAAAGCUCUAUCAACAGGGAAGAUAAUGACGGUACCUGACUAAGAAGCACCGGCUAAAUACGUG
Molecule: ribosomal RNA, 481 nt
Filed under: uncultured bacterium
Lineage: Bacteria
Description: partial 16S ribosomal RNA
Rfam family: Bacterial small subunit ribosomal RNA
Source: RNAcentral